Molecule: long non-coding RNA, 735 nt
Filed under: Equus caballus (horse)
Lineage: Eukaryota; Metazoa; Chordata; Mammalia; Perissodactyla; Equidae
Description: lncRNA (ENSECAG00000049254.1)
Source: RNAcentral
CCUAUUUUGUCGCAGCUUCCUGGACAAUGGAGUAAAAGCAGCCUUACAGAAUGUGCAGGUGACAUCAAGUUGGGCACAAUUACCAACACCUCUGAAACAAGAAUAGAAUAUUAAGGGACACUAAAAACUUAGUCCCCCACAUGCAUCUCAGUUCUAAGGAGGAGAAAGGGAAAAAACCACCCUAUAAAGUGCCUGUGUUACCUGCCGCCACUUGCCGUCACCUGAAUGUCCCAAGAACACGCUCUCAACCCACAGCAUCUGUGCCCUCCAGCCUGAUCCUCUCACCUUUCCCAGCUCAGUGAGCAGUAUCGUCAUCUACCCCGAGGAGCAAGCCAGAACCUCACGGGCAUCUUAGAGUCCACCCUGCCCCUCAGCCCCAUGUGCAAGUCAGCGUGGAGCCAUGUCAGUUUUACCUCCCAGGUGUCUCUUCAGUCCAUCCACUUCUCUCUGCUUUCGCCGCCCUAGUCCAGCUACCGUCAUCGUGGCAGGUGUAGCACACAGGUGCCGCUGUAGCUCCUGAAGACACGAUGAUGAGAAAAACAGGCGUGGUCCCCAACCUCGCAGAGCCUCCUUUCCUGAGGGGAAGAUGCAGAUGUGGGAAACCAGGGAAAGCGGAGAAAUGGCAUCUCAACCAUUCUGUGGAGGAGAAGAGAGGGAAGUUCACUGGACAAAGGACUGCUGGAAGAAGGCAGAAGGGGCACGGACUCCACGUGGAGGAGCAGCAUCUCGGACGCC